Molecule: ribosomal RNA, 298 nt
Filed under: uncultured bacterium
Lineage: Bacteria
Description: partial 16S ribosomal RNA
Rfam family: Bacterial small subunit ribosomal RNA
Source: RNAcentral
GGUAGUCCACGCUGUAAACGAUGAGUGCUAGCUGUUGGCUCCAUAGGAGUCAGUGGCGCAGCUAACGCAUUAAGCACUCCGCCUGGGGAGUACGGUCGCAAGAUUAAAACUCAAAGAAAUUGACGGGGACCCGCACAAGCGGUGGAGCAUGUGGUUUAAUUCGAGGCAACGCGAAGAACCUUACCAGGACUUGACAUGUCCAGUAUGGAUUUCAGAAAUGAUUUCCUUCAGUUCGGCUGGCUGGAACACAGGUGCUGCAUGGCUGUCGUCAGCUCGUGUCGUGAGAUGUUGGGUUAAG